RNAcentral lists this unclassified non-coding RNA (284 nucleotides) under Hevea brasiliensis (rubber tree). The record is from RNAcentral. Lineage: Eukaryota; Viridiplantae; Streptophyta; Magnoliopsida; Malpighiales; Euphorbiaceae.
GUUGAAUCUUCAACAAUGGCAGAGCAGGAUACUAAGCCUUUGAGAGAUUAUGGUGCACCCAACAUUCAAGGAUUGCAAUUAAAUGAGACACGACCUAUAGUGACUGUUAACAACUUUGAGCUGAAACCAACAUGGCUUCAGAUAAUUCAACAAAGCCAAUUUGGGGAUUCUCCAUUUUUUAUCCACAUUUCCACCUCCAAUGUUUCCUUGCUUUAUGUGAUACAUUAAAGAUUAAUGGAGUUUCUCAAGAUGCUAUUCGCCUGAAAACGUUUCCAUUCUCUUAG